This 86-nucleotide transfer RNA is filed under the name Candidatus Woesearchaeota archaeon. RNAcentral's name for it is "tRNA-Leu". It matches the Rfam family "tRNA". From Rfam's summary of the family: Transfer RNA (tRNA) molecules are approximately 80 nucleotides in length. The record is from RNAcentral. RNAcentral also lists the same sequence under 1 other name. Lineage: Archaea; Nanobdellati; Candidatus Woesearchaeota.
GCGGGGGUGGCAGAGCCUGGUCAAAUGCGCUGGCUUGAGGUGCCAGUUCCUUAGUGGAUGCGAGGGUUCAAAUCCCUUCCCCCGCA